RNAcentral lists this non-coding RNA (30 nucleotides) under Rattus norvegicus (Norway rat). The record is from RNAcentral. Lineage: Eukaryota; Metazoa; Chordata; Mammalia; Rodentia; Muridae.
UGCCAAGAAGUCCUAGAGUGCCUGGCGCCA